This 428-nucleotide ribosomal RNA is filed under the name uncultured bacterium. RNAcentral describes it as "bacterial SSU rRNA". It matches the Rfam family "Bacterial small subunit ribosomal RNA", at positions 355 to 774 of the family's 1533-position model. The record is from RNAcentral.
UGGGGAAUUGUUCGCAAUGGGCGCAAGCCUGACGACGCAACGCCGCGUGGAGGACGAAGAUCUUCGGGUCGUAAACUCCUGUCGAGCGGGAAGAACGCUUCGCGGAUGAAUAAGCCGCGGAAAUGACGGUACCGCUAAAGGAAGCCCCGGCUAACUCCGUGCCAGCAGCCGCGGUAAUACGGGGGGGGCAAGCGUUGUUCGGAAUUACUGGGCGUAAAGGGCUCGUAGGCGGCCAACUAAGUCGGAUGUGAAAUCCCCAGGCUUAACCUGGGAACUGCAUCCGAUACUGGAUGGCUUGAAUCCGGGAGAGGGAUGCAGAAUUCCAGGUGUAGCGGUGAAAUGCGUAGAUAUCUGGAGGAAUACCGGUGGCGAAGGCGGCAUCCUGGACCGGCAUUGACGCUGAUGAGCGAAAGCUAGGGGAGCAAACG